This 98-nucleotide signal recognition particle RNA is filed under the name Bdellovibrio sp. Its description in RNAcentral is "signal recognition particle sRNA small type". It matches the Rfam family "Bacterial small signal recognition particle RNA". From Rfam's summary of the family: The signal recognition particle (SRP) is a universally conserved ribonucleoprotein involved in the co-translational targeting of proteins to membranes. Archaeal SRP consists of a 7S RNA and homologues of the eukaryotic SRP19 and SRP54 proteins. The record is from RNAcentral. Lineage: Bacteria; Pseudomonadati; Bdellovibrionota; Bdellovibrionia; Bdellovibrionales; Pseudobdellovibrionaceae.
GGCUAGGUCCCGUACGGUAGACUUGUUAUUGAAUCCGCUAGGUCCGGAAGGAAGCAACGGCGUUUAACGAGCUAGGCGAUACGGGUCGCCUAGCCACU